This 292-nucleotide ribosomal RNA is filed under the name uncultured bacterium. RNAcentral describes it as "partial 16S ribosomal RNA". It matches the Rfam family "Bacterial small subunit ribosomal RNA", at positions 505 to 796 of the family's 1533-position model. The record is from RNAcentral.
GUGCCAGCAGCCGCGGUAAUACGAAGGGGGCUAGCGUUGCUCGGAAUCACUGGGCGUAAAGGGCGCGUAGGCGGAUCUUUAAGUCGGGGGUGAAAGCCCAGGGCUCAACCCUGGAAUUGCCUUCGAUACUGAAGAUCUCGAGACCGGAAGAGGUAAGUGGAACUGCGAGUGUAGAGGUGAAAUUCGUAGAUAUUCGCAAGAACACCAGUGGCGAAGGCGGCUUACUGGUCCGGUUCUGACGCUGAGGCGCGAAAGCGUGGGGAGCAAACAGGAUUAGAAACCCCCGUAGUCC